Molecule: unclassified non-coding RNA, 200 nt
Filed under: Coniochaeta sp.
Lineage: Eukaryota; Fungi; Ascomycota; Sordariomycetes; Coniochaetales; Coniochaetaceae
Description: partial internal transcribed spacer 2
Source: RNAcentral
UUAAGUUCAGCGGGUAUUCCUACCUGAUCCGAGGUCAACCUUGAGUUAAAGAUGGUCUUUAACGGCAGGAGCGCGCCGCAACGUCCCUAGCGAGAUAAUGAAUUACUACGCUCGGAGUUGUAGCGAGCCCGCCACUUCCUUUCAGGGCCUACGGCAGCCGUAGGGCCCCAACACCAAGCAGGGCUUGAGGGUUGAAAUGA